UGUUGGGAGGAAGCGAAAACAACCAUUGUCCACGAGGAUAUAACUCAGUGGGGAAUGCGGAAGGAAAGAUAAACACUUUCUGCUUAAGGGGCUGACUCUACAUUGAGGGAUCAGACACCGACAUCUGCUUGGAAAUAUAUUACCAACUAGCAGAGGAUAACAAACAAAAGAUAUAUGGCAAGAAAUGCAAUAUGAAUAUCCAAA
RNAcentral lists this long non-coding RNA (204 nucleotides) under Lathyrus oleraceus (garden pea). RNAcentral describes it as "Pisum sativum (pea) long non-coding RNA (PSAT_LNC022781)". The record is from RNAcentral. Lineage: Eukaryota; Viridiplantae; Streptophyta; Magnoliopsida; Fabales; Fabaceae.